UACCACCCUGUCUGCGCCCGAUGUCGUCUUUUCUCGGAAGCGAAGCAGGGUUGGCCCUGGUUAGUACUUGGAUGGGAGACCACCUGGGAAUACCAGGUG
Molecule: ribosomal RNA, 99 nt
Filed under: Sinocyclocheilus rhinocerous
Lineage: Eukaryota; Metazoa; Chordata; Actinopteri; Cypriniformes; Cyprinidae
Source: RNAcentral